UCCGGGAUGAAGCCAGCCGUACCUGAACUGUCUGAGGAAAAACAUCAUCUCAAAUAAAGCUACUCUGUGAAGUUCUGGAAGACAAGAGUUCCUUUUCAAAAAACAAGACUCAAUUACUACACUAUGUGCAGGUUUUCUCAGUCUCCUAGGUGAGCCACAGUACCCCAAGUGAUUGGAGCACACAUAAUCCCCAACUGGAGAGAUCUAGAGCCUCUGUCAGCUGAAAAAGAAAAUCUAGACUCCAUUUUAAGUGAAGAGCUAUGAAAAGCAUCUAGAGUUCACAGUCCCUGAUUAGUGACGUCAUUAAUAAUGUACAAGGGAAGAAACGGCUACUGCUAUGUAUCCGUCCUAACACCUAAG
Molecule: long non-coding RNA, 360 nt
Organism: Cavia porcellus (domestic guinea pig)
Lineage: Eukaryota; Metazoa; Chordata; Mammalia; Rodentia; Caviidae
Exons: 3
Source: RefSeq, a predicted model, not a curated record